This is a long non-coding RNA of Paramisgurnus dabryanus, 2758 nucleotides long. RefSeq lists it as uncharacterized. The record is from RefSeq and is a predicted model, not a curated record. Lineage: Eukaryota; Metazoa; Chordata; Actinopteri; Cypriniformes; Cobitidae.
UUCUCGCCUUUGUCCAAUCACAUGCGAGGUCAUGGCCACGGCUCACACAGCAGUGUCGACGCGCGUAACAGACGUUUGGUUUGGUGUUUGUAACUCUCCAAGAAGAGAAGACGGGUGCACAAUCCCAAGAUUGCUGAGGCUGUACGGCGUCUCUGAGGCACACUGCAGGCGCUAUGAACCAGAGCAAAGACUAACGUCGCCUCAUAACAAAGCCGUGACCUCCGAUUUGCUUGGGGCUAUUUCAGCAAGUCCAGAGACUGACGACAUUGUUUGCAGAGGUGUAAAGUACUCGAGUAAAUGUACUUCGUUACUGUACUUAAGUAUUUUUUGGGCUACUUUGUACUUGUACUGAGUAUCAAAAAUAUAGGCAACUUUUACUCUCUACUCAAUUACAUUUUUGAUUGGGUAUUUGUACUCUUUACUCCACUACAUUUGAAAUGACACUUAACGUUACUCGCUACAUUGUUUAUUCGUCAAAUAAAAACGAGACGAAAGUGUCAGAGGGUGAUGAUGGAUAGAAUCUGUGGUCGCGAGGUUACACGCCCACACAACUGACGGACUUCAUUUGGCUCUGCGCAGAGCAAUCGUAUGAAAUCAAAGUACUGCGAGAGCGAAUCAAAUGCAUAUGGAGAAGUCUGGUCUCGCGGUACUUUGAUGUCAAACGCUGAAUGGCUUGCGUUGAGCCACCGUAGCGGGACAUCUGCGUGCUGCGUAUGUCAUAAACUGUAGAGAAAAGUUCGCGUCUGGUCUGAGAGAAGAGAUAAAGAGCAAACAUAUGGAUGCAUAUCACAUUUGCUUCAGUCAAGGGACCCUUUGUUAAACAUGUGAUGCUACAAUCAAAACAAAAGUGAUGCGCGAUUGCAGGAGGGUCAUCCCGCAACUCAAAGGCAAGCACAAAUGUUUGUAUACUCUGAUGCUACUUUAUCAGCUAACCUGAGUUACAUAACUUGAUAUAACUUACUAUAUAAGCCAAAAUAAACCAGCGAGGUCCUGUACUGAUUGCCCGAGUAACAUAAGUACAUUAUAAGAUUGAUAAUAAGUGUACAAUUUUACUGUCCUCACAUUUAAUCAAGUAUGCUGUAAUGUAUUUACUGUAAGAGGGAUGCAUGACGGAAGAAAUGUAGUGCACUUAAUGUGAGAUGGUGUUACGUACUACAUGUGUUUUCAAUUAAUCUUUCAAAUGAACAACUUCACGUUUUUAAUAUGCAUUAUCAUAUUUCUGUUAGUGCAAUUUUAGUUUACUGGAAUUUUCUAAAUAUAAAAAUUAUAUCUUUUUUAGGAUAGGCCUAUAUAAGAAUAUUUGGUAACACUUUACAAUAAGGUUCAUUAGUUAACAGUAGUUAAUGUAUUAACCAACUUGAACAAACCAUGAGCAAUACAUUUGUUACAUUAUUUAUUCAUCUUUGUUAAUGUUAGUUAAUAAAAAUGUAAGCUUUAAUUGUUUGUUCAUGUUAGUUCAGAGUGCAUUAACUAAUGUUAACAAGAUUUUAAUAAAGUAUUAGUAAUUGUUGAAAUUAAUAUUAACAAAGAUGAAUAAAUGCUGUAUAAGUGCAGCUCAUUAUCAGUUCAUGUUAACCAAUGUAGCUAACUAAUAUUAACCAAUGAACCCCACUGUAAAUUGUUACCAUAUAUUUAUAUCACAAAGUUAGGCUAUAUAUUUUUCAGCAUGGCACAUUCAAGUACACAAUGACACUAGACUAAAAUUAAAUGGGUUUAAAUUAAAUGUAAUUUAGAUUUCUAGACUAAAAUCUUAUGGCAUUUAGAUGAAUAAAAUUAGACAAAAAACUAAAUCAAUUCAGAUGACAAAAAUAUGACUAAAACUAAAUACAAUUUUAGUCAAAAGAAGACUAUGACUAUGUUUAAUCUGUGUUUGUUCUGCCAGGUUAAAAUUUUGAGGUGUUUGAUUUCUUUUCUAUAUUAGGAAAUAAAACCUCAUAAAUAAAUAAACUUUUUUAGUUUUCACUGCCCAGACCUACAAUGUCUCUUUGUGUUGAGGACUAGUGCAUCUUUGAGCCAACAUUCAGUACGAGUAAAAAUACUUGAGUACUUUUAAAUUGGGUUACUUUAAUACUUUUACUCAAGUCGUAUUUAAAUUGGUGACUUGUAACUUGUAGUGGAGUAAUUUUUACAGUAAGGAAUUUGUACUUUUACUCAAGUAUGGCUUUCAGCUACUCUUUACACCUCUGAUUGUUUGUAAGUAUAACUUCUAAUGUUUUUCCUCAUUUCUUAUUUAAUUGUACCGUGACUCUUUUUAUUAAUACCAGUCUCAUUUAAUUGUUUUCCAGCUGCCCGUAAGACGUAUUAUGAGUCGGUACGCUGGAGCUUCAGAUACAAACAACCUGAACUCGCAUCGCAGGGGGAAAAUGCGAAAAGUUUAGCUCGGAGUCGAUCCAGAAGAAAAAGGUUGCUGGAAGCGAGACGAAGUGUGCUGGCUGAGGAUGAGAUGGACAUUUGGAAGUGCGCCACCAUAGAUCUCAUAUCUGAUGAGGAAGACGGCAUUGUUGGCGGGGUGUCUGGAUGGAUUGUGCGGCCACCGCCCUCUCGCAGCCUGGAACCCCCCGAGCUCUGUGCCACGCUGAAAUCCAGAUUAGAGGCGAUACCAAAGUACAGGGCAACUCACCAUAUACGCGUGAAAAAGUGACUUUUUUACAACGUUUUUGAGUUUUUUUUUCAACACUUUGAAAAAGAUUUUUAGGGAUCUUUCCCGAACGUCUUAGGCACUUUUUGACGUGUUUGGAGGACAAUAUAAGAGACAUUA